AUACUUACCUGGACGGGGUCAAUGGGUGAUCAAGAAGACCCACGGCUUAGGUCGGUGACCUCCAUUGCACUUCGGAGGGGUGCCGGUCUAAGGUCUGUCCACAGUGACAGAGCCUACGUCAUAAUUUGUGGUAGCGGGGGCCUGCGUUCGCGCGGCCCUUGU
Molecule: small nuclear RNA, 162 nt
Organism: Ziziphus jujuba (common jujube)
Lineage: Eukaryota; Viridiplantae; Streptophyta; Magnoliopsida; Rosales; Rhamnaceae
Product: U1 spliceosomal RNA
Exons: 1
Source: RefSeq, a predicted model, not a curated record